This is a non-coding RNA of Cinara cedri, 350 nucleotides long. Lineage: Eukaryota; Metazoa; Arthropoda; Insecta; Hemiptera; Aphididae. The record is from the annotation of a GenBank genome assembly.
GCUGACUUUUCCUACAAGAAUUAACAACAUUAAACCUAGAAUAUGCUGAUCAUAAUAUUAAAUGACUUAUGGAAGGAUAAUUUUGGCCUUACAGUUCAUUGAAUAAGUAACCCCAAGAAUGUAUUUGAAAUCCUAUGGAAAAAUUGAAAAGAAAAUUAUCUCAAAUUGACUACAUCAUAAUCUCCCAACAGAAAUACUACUACAAUGCUUUAUGUGUUCAUAGAUGAAUUUUCAUUUUUACCAUUUAGGAAAAUCACACACCGAAGCAGUGUAGGAGUGAAAAUAUAAUUGCACUACUCAUGUACUAAAUGUACUAUUCCACAUCCCACCAUUAAGUGAAAUUGAAAUUA